UGGGGAAUCUUGGACAAUGGGCGCAAGCCUGAUCCAGCCAUGCCGCGUGAGUGACGAAGGCCUUAGGGUUGUAAAGCUCUUUUUGGCGGGGAAGAUAAUGACGGUACCCGCAGAAUAAGCUCCGGCUAACUUCGUGCCAGCAGCCGCGGUAAUACGAAGGGAGCUAGCGUUGUUCGGAAUCACUGGGCGUAAAGCGCACGUAGGCGGAUUGUUUAGUCAGGGGUGAAAUCCCGGAGCUCAACUUCGGAACUGCCUUUGAUACUGGCAAUCUCGAGUCCGAUAGAGGUGGGUGGAAUUCCUAGUGUAGAGGUGAAAUUCGUAGAUAUUAGGAAGAACACCGGUGGCGAAGGCGGCCCACUGGAUCGGUACUGACGCUGAGGUGCGAAAGCGUGGGGAGCAAACAGGAUUAGAUACCCCUGUAGUCCCUGAGCGGGCUGGCAAGGCGCAU
Molecule: ribosomal RNA, 448 nt
Filed under: uncultured bacterium
Lineage: Bacteria
Description: bacterial SSU rRNA
Rfam family: Bacterial small subunit ribosomal RNA
Source: RNAcentral